RNAcentral lists this small nucleolar RNA (81 nucleotides) under Castor canadensis (American beaver). RNAcentral's name for it is "Small nucleolar RNA SNORA51 (ENSCCNG00000003095.1)". It matches the Rfam family "Small nucleolar RNA SNORA51". Rfam says of the family: ACA51 is a member of the H/ACA class of snoRNA that guide the sites of modification of uridines to pseudouridines. Lineage: Eukaryota; Metazoa; Chordata; Mammalia; Rodentia; Castoridae. The record is from Rfam by way of RNAcentral.
AACCUCUUGGUGUUUGCCACAGGCUGUGUUCUUACACUGACUGUAUAGAAAGAAGAGGCAAAGUAAACCUUAUACACAUGG